RNAcentral lists this ribosomal RNA (306 nucleotides) under Triticum aestivum (bread wheat). Its description in RNAcentral is "partial small subunit ribosomal RNA". Lineage: Eukaryota; Viridiplantae; Streptophyta; Magnoliopsida; Poales; Poaceae. The record is from RNAcentral.
GUACAUGCAAGGCCAAAGGCCCCUUCGGCCGCGGCUGCGUGCCGUGAUGAACAGGUCAACUACCUUGGGAGCUCCUCACUGGUGAUUGAUGGACAACUAGAUCCCGCCACCCUUGAAGCAAUUGCGUGCAGGGAAGCAAUGGCCCUUGCGGAAGAUUUGCUAGUUCAAAACUUCGUAAUCUCUUCGGACUGCAAACAGGUUGUGGAAGAUAUACGAAAAGGAAAUCAAGGUCCUUAUGGAUCCAUCGUUACAAAGAUAAAACUUCGAGCUACUAGUUUUAGAUGUAGUUUUAUUUUUGAAGGGUGA